GUAAAAUAAUGCGUGAUUAAUCACAUUUCCAACGAUGCUUUUUGUAGGAAAAUCACGAGAUUCAGGUAAUUUAUAGUUUAUAUUUAUAAAAAUUUUUGGAAAUUUUUGGAAUUUAGAAAAAUAUUUUGAAGAAAUGGCGAAAAUUUAAGAUAUUCGGAAAAAUUUUUGGCUUCACGGAAAAUUUUUGUAUGUCCGGAAAAUUUUUUUGACCCCUAAAAUGGUACACUGACCGAAAUUUUUUUGGCGAGGGGGGGGGAGGUCGCCAAAAAUUUUUUCAGUAAAGGUGCCCUUGGUGUGCGUCCGCCCCAACCUCGUCCCCAGGGCCUUUGAGCUGGGGACGAGGUUGCGUCCGCCGCCCUUUGCCCUAUUAUCGUUCCGGCGUCCCUG
This is a non-coding RNA of Paramuricea clavata, 387 nucleotides long. NCBI's taxonomy places the organism in Eukaryota, Metazoa, Cnidaria, Anthozoa, Malacalcyonacea, Plexauridae. The record is from the annotation of a GenBank genome assembly.